Non-coding RNA from Schistosoma haematobium, 45 nucleotides. Lineage: Eukaryota; Metazoa; Platyhelminthes; Trematoda; Strigeidida; Schistosomatidae. The record is from Rfam.
AUUCAACUGACUAGUCCCAAAUUGGACGAAAUGCGCGUCCCGAAU